This 292-nucleotide ribosomal RNA is filed under the name uncultured bacterium. Its description in RNAcentral is "partial 16S ribosomal RNA". It matches the Rfam family "Bacterial small subunit ribosomal RNA", at positions 505 to 796 of the family's 1533-position model. The record is from RNAcentral.
GUGCCAGCCGCCGCGGUAAUACGUAGGUGGCAAGCGUUGUCCGGAUUUACUGGGCGUAAAGGAUGCGUAGGCGGAUAUUUAAGUCAGAUGUGAAAUUCCCGAGCUUAACUUGGGAGCUGCAUUUGAAACUGGGUAUCUAGAGUGUGGGAGAGGAAAGUGGAAUUCCUAGUGUAGCGGUGAAAUGCGUAGAGAUUAGGAAGAACCCCAGUGGCGAAGGCGACUUUCUGGACCAUAACUGACGCUGAGGCAUGAAAGCGUGGGGAGCAAACAGGAUUAGAUACCCGCGUAGUCC